Panicum virgatum (switchgrass) is the source of this 1774-nucleotide long non-coding RNA. RefSeq lists it as uncharacterized. NCBI's taxonomy places the organism in Eukaryota, Viridiplantae, Streptophyta, Magnoliopsida, Poales, Poaceae. The transcript is spliced from 4 exons. The record is from RefSeq and is a predicted model, not a curated record.
GACGAAAAGGACUGGAACUUUGUCAUCUUAUUUCCAUCGUAUUUAUGUCACACAACUGAAUGAAGUCAACGAGCCCCCUGUACUUUUCAGUGCCUGAACAAGCAACAUAUCCAUCUUAGUCUCAUCCACUAUCGUCUCAAGCUCAGUCAGGCGGGCGGCAACAUGCUGGUGGCCUCGCCCAUGAUGGGCUCCUUCGGCUGCUGCGCGCUGGAGUACCACAGGAGCGGGCAUGCCACCGUGAAGUCUGACGUGUACAGCUUCUGGGUGGUGCUCGUGUAGUGCAGCUCAUCUCCGGGAGGAGGGCCGUCGACACAAGCAAGCCUGUGACCAAGCAGAACGUGGUCACCUAGGUAAGUGAACUACGCACUUCGAUCUGACCAAGCAGAACGUGGUCACCUAGGUAAGUGAACUACGCACUUCGAUCUUUUGGCAUGAUAUGAUGCGGUAGCAGUUACUGAAACUCUGACGAUUUUCAGUUUUCUGAUAUUUUCCAACUUUCUUUUCCGCCGACGAAGAACACUAUGAUGCCAGGACGCCACCAACCAAGGCUGCAGAUAUCAAUUCACCGGGAUCUCUCAACUGUGGAGACGUGAAAAAAGUAUGUGAAGAAAAUAUCCCCAGCGGAUAUCAUUCCCAGAAUAUGAACAGGUCAAAUGGCUCAGCAAACAAUUGAGCAAGCUUUGGCCCUUUGUUGAAAGAGGAUACUUCCAUGUUAAGAUACAGGCAGAUCUGACCAAUUUUCCAUUUUAAUUGGCCAUUUUCCUAUCAAGAACUGUCAUGAUUUGCAUCUGAUUACAGGCAACAACCAUGGUCAUCAGGGAUUCUGUGGAACCACUACUCGAUGAAUAUCGACCGCCAGGGAUAUCCUCACUGAAGUUCAGCAGACUCUCCCUUGGGACUGUUCCAUCAAAAAUAGAAGGUUGCUGAGACAAAAAUGGUGUCCAAUUCACAGUUAUGUGCUCUCGCAUCUUCUACAAAAACAAGUGCUGAUUUUUUUUCUUAAUGAAAGUAACUAUACAUAAAAUAUUUUACUAUAUGGAUGAUAUUUAUAAUUCUAGCUUAAUCAGACAAAGUAAAAACAUGGAUCAUCCAAAUAUUUUUUGCUAGACUCCAGUACAAUUAUGUCAUAAUUCUAGCUUAAGCUGCCCCUGGGCGACCUAGGGAUGGAGACCGCGCAGGAGGUAAACCUGCAGCUGCUGUCAUCGCUAGACAUGACCAUUUGUUUAUUGUGUUGGUUCAAGUGGGAAACAAAGUCGCUUCAGUGAAAAAAAUGGUGAAAGCUGCUUUUAGUGGAAAAAUGUUAAUAGCCAGUUGAUGAAUUUAUAUCCAGUUGGCACCUUUACCUUUUUAUUAUGUGUUACCCCUUCAAUUUGUUACCUGCCUCAGUUGAUUAUAGUCUGCGUCAAAGUUAUGUGUUAUAUUACUUGGCAUGUUGGAUUCGGAUUAUUCAUAUAUCUCUUAUUUAGUGAAUCCCUUAGAUCACUCUACACUCUACUCUUGAGAAGCUACAGGUCAUAGCAACAGUCGGCUGCUGCUCCUCUAUUCAGGAGCUAGACAGUAAGUCGCUGCAGCCUGCAGGUAAUUUACCUUUCAGGGAAACAGCCAUUUGCACUGAAAAAUUAUAUAUUGGUAACCAAACAGAGAUAAUUACUUGCAGUUACGUUUGUAGUCACAUGUAAGUGAGUAUGUAACUAAAUUUAGCUCUAUUCAUGUCUGAAUAUACCAGUUGGUAACAAUGUAUAGUCAAAUUAUUGUGCUAAUAUAUUGUCAACUA